GUAGUGGGGAUGUGUGGUAACAGAUGGAAAUGUCGGGAGGGGAGGCCGGGAGGGGAGGCGGGAUAGAAGUACCGCUACCAACUAGGCGUCGUACACGACGACUAGACGGCUCAAACUGCCGCCGCCAUCGGGCUCACUACUCUAGGCGCAGAACCCGCGCGCAUCUAGAUCGUACCCGAGUUGGGGGCUACAACCGGAACAGCCUCCCCUCGCUGACACGCCACCGGCCAGAUCCUAUUACCGAGCGCCCUCCGGCAUCACAUGGGAUCGGCGGUGGCCUAAGGCCACACCGAGGUCGGGGAAGACAACCGAAGGAGCUGUGGUACCGGAGUACAACGACGAAGCUGGUGUACAGUCCAAGUAAACGGACGCGACCAUCGGUAUUGUCGGCAAGCAUCCGUCCCACCCUUCGGAUUCCGAACACGCACCUGAGGGAGAAGCUAACUAACGAAUUCUGUGUACAUAUGCUCACUCUACACACACGCACGUCGUCGGGCACAUAACACAAACGCCCAAAGGAGAGACUUAAAAUUGUGACUCAAAAGAGACAUAGAAAUGUGACGUCCCAUGGGUCAUGUCUAUCUCCCGUGUACAAGUAGUUGGCCGACGUAACACGAUACACCCGAAGAUUAAAACAAAUUAAAAGCCGGGUCUAGAUUAAGUUAAAUCUAAAAAGCUUGUUAAACUACAUAGAGACAAGAGAUUUAGUUAUAUUAAUUCACAUGAUAUACGUAAGUCAAAUCAAAAGAUAGUUUUAUAUUAAGUCAUACUUAGUCACAUUAGUCCACCACUUAUUAAAGUAGUUUAUCCUCUGUACUAAAGACAAUGACACAAUUAUACUGCUGUACAAGACAAAUCUCAAAUGAGGUAUGUGAAGACAGAUAUAACAUCUGACGUCGAGCCACUUAUACAUAUUGGUUUUAAUUCAAAUUAGACUUAGAUUCUUCUUUUAAUGUAAUCAUGUCACACCGUCAGGAUGUCAAUAUUAUGUCUCCAAAUUUGGACAAGUAAACACAUGAUUCGUGUACAUCAUGACGAUGACAAUCAAUACACGCAUCAUCAUGAUCUUGGUUACGGUACAAUCAAGUGACAGGGAGUUAGACCUCCGUGUGUGGUUCGAUCGUUAACGGUUGUGUAACUAUGUGUAAAGAAGUUGAACACAUUAGGGACGGAGGAUCGGUCCAGCGGGAGACGUUAUCCGGCUGUUCCCAACUACAGAUGACAGACUAGGAUUUAGAAAAGCGAUUACGAAAGGGUAAAAAAUACUAGUUAAUUGUGACAUUGAGUGGGACUAAUAC
Molecule: ribosomal RNA, 1298 nt
Filed under: Triticum aestivum (bread wheat)
Lineage: Eukaryota; Viridiplantae; Streptophyta; Magnoliopsida; Poales; Poaceae
Description: partial small subunit ribosomal RNA
Source: RNAcentral